Molecule: long non-coding RNA, 539 nt
Organism: Ostrinia nubilalis (European corn borer)
Lineage: Eukaryota; Metazoa; Arthropoda; Insecta; Lepidoptera; Crambidae
Exons: 4
Source: RefSeq, a predicted model, not a curated record
UUAAUAUCGAACUUCGAACUUAUAAGGUGUUAAGCUGCAAUUACAAUAAAAGUGCUUGCUAUGGAAUCACCGGUGCUGAAAGAAAGAAAGAAAAAAUAUUUAUUUGGUUAUGCCGUGACAUAAAUGCAUUAAAUUAGGAAGAUUUGUAUUGGAUGAAUUACCCAGAUAACAAUUAAAACAACUUCUGUUGAUAAGAACAUUUGAUUGGUGGAAUCCAGAUUCUGUGAAUGUACAUGUAAUUGAUUGAAAAAUGCACAUUUGACAAGGUGGUGAGAAACGUGUAGGUCUGGCCUGCUUACAGUGGCUAUUGGAUUGGACAGAACCAAAGUGAGAGUGAAUGUGUGAAUUUAUGGAGAACAUUAAACUAUUUUACUAUAAGUCAUAACGCAACUUAUUUUGUAUGAGUUACAUACAAAUGUCAAGCCGUGAGUACCUACAUUAUGUAAAAACUAAAACAAUGUACUGUAAUCACAAUAGUAACUGUAAUCUUUUAAAAUAAAAUAGUUUUAAUGCUUAUUGAUUUUCGUAAACAAAAUAUU